AGUGAACGCUGGCGGCAGGCCUAAUACAUGCAAGUCGAACGGCAGCACAGCAGAGCUUGCUCUGUGGGUGGCGAGUGGCGGACGGGUGAGGAAUACGUGGGAAUCUGCCCAGUCGUGGGGGAUAACGUAGGGAAACUUACGCUAAUACCGCAUGCGCCCUUCGGGGAAAGGCCGGGGACCUUCGGGCCGUGGCGCGAUUGGAUGAGCCCACGUCGGAUUAGCUAGUUGGCGGGGUAAAGGGCCCACCAAGGCGACGAUCCGUAGCUGGUCUGAGAGGAUGAUCAGCCACACUGGAACUGAGACACGGUCCAGACUCCUACGGGAGGCAGCAGUAGGGAAUAUUGGACAAUGGGCGGCAAGCCUGA
RNAcentral lists this ribosomal RNA (365 nucleotides) under uncultured bacterium. Its description in RNAcentral is "bacterial SSU rRNA". It matches the Rfam family "Bacterial small subunit ribosomal RNA", at positions 30 to 386 of the family's 1533-position model. The record is from RNAcentral.